GCCGGGGUGACCGAGCGGACUAAGGUGCCGGCCUUGAGAGCCGGUGGGGGUUAAUCCCCCGCGCGGGUUCGAAUCCCGCCCCCGGCGCCA
This 90-nucleotide transfer RNA is filed under the name Desulfurococcales archaeon. RNAcentral's name for it is "tRNA-Ser". It matches the Rfam family "tRNA". From Rfam's summary of the family: Transfer RNA (tRNA) molecules are approximately 80 nucleotides in length. Their secondary structure includes four short double-helical elements and three loops (D, anti-codon, and T loops). Lineage: Archaea; Thermoproteati; Thermoproteota; Thermoprotei; Desulfurococcales. The record is from RNAcentral.